GACGAACGCUGGCGGCGUGCUUAACACAUGCAAGUCGAGCGGUAAGGCCCCUUCGGGGGUACACGAGCGGCGAACGGGUGAGUAACACGUGAGCAACCUACCCUCAACUUUGGGAUAAGCCUCGGAAACGGGGUCUAAUACCGGAUAUCAUCUCCUGCUUCAUGGUGGGGGGUUGAAAGUUCUGGCGGUUGGGGAUGGGCUCGCGGCCUAUCAGCUUGUUGGUGGGGUAAUGGCCUACCAAGGCGUCGACGGGUAGCCGGCCUGAGAGGGCGACCGGCCACACUGGGACUGAGACACGGCCCAGACUCCUACGGGAGGCAGCAGUGGGGAAUAUUGCGCAAUGGACGAAAGUCUGACGCAGCAACGCCGCGUGAGGGAUGACGGCCUUCGGGUUGUAAACCUCUUUCAGCAGGGACGAAGCGAGAGUGACGGUACCUGCAGAAGAAGGACCGGCCAACUACGUGCCAGCCGCCGCCGUAACAC
Molecule: ribosomal RNA, 483 nt
Filed under: uncultured bacterium
Lineage: Bacteria
Description: bacterial SSU rRNA
Rfam family: Bacterial small subunit ribosomal RNA
Source: RNAcentral